This 22-nucleotide microRNA is filed under the name Equus caballus (horse). RNAcentral describes it as "eca-miR-1461". The record is from miRBase by way of RNAcentral. Lineage: Eukaryota; Metazoa; Chordata; Mammalia; Perissodactyla; Equidae.
AUCUCUACGGGUAAGUGUGUGA